UCGAACGCUGAUUACAGGUACCAUAUCCUGAGUCGAGUGGCGCAAGGUGCGUAACACGUGGGUAAUUGCCCGUGAAGUGGGGAUAACUCGCUGAAAGGCGAGCUAAUACNCGGAUGUGANAUCAGGAGGGCAUCUUCUGAUUUUAAAGUGNNGGACCCGCAAGGCCUGACGCUUCACGAUAAGCCCGCGGCCUAUCAGCUAGUUGGUGAGGUAACGGCUCACCAAGGCUAAGACGGGUAGCUGGUCUGAGAGGACGACCAGUCACACUGGAACUGAGACACGGUCCAGACACCUACGGGUGGCAGCAGUCGAGAAUUUUUCUCAAUGGGCGAAAGCCUGAAGGAGCGACGCCGCGUGGGGGAUGAAGGGCUUCGGCUCGUAAACCCCUGUCAUUUGCGAACAAACCUCGCGGUUGAAUAGAUCGCGAGCUGAUAGUAGCGAAAGAGGAAGGGACGGCUAACUCUGUG
Molecule: ribosomal RNA, 467 nt
Filed under: uncultured bacterium
Lineage: Bacteria
Description: bacterial SSU rRNA
Rfam family: Bacterial small subunit ribosomal RNA
Source: RNAcentral